This 253-nucleotide ribosomal RNA is filed under the name uncultured bacterium. Its description in RNAcentral is "partial 16S ribosomal RNA". It matches the Rfam family "Bacterial small subunit ribosomal RNA", at positions 524 to 776 of the family's 1533-position model. The record is from RNAcentral.
UACGAACUGUGCGAACGUUAUUCGGAAUCACUGGGCUUACAGGGUGCGUAGGCGGCCGAACAAGUCAGGUGUGAAAGCCCUCGGCUCAACCGAGGAACUGCGCUUGAAACUGUUUGGCUCGAGUCAACUAGAGGUGCACGGAACUUCCAGUGGAGCGGUGAAAUGUGUUGAUAUUGGAGGGAACACCGGAGGCGAAAGCGGUGCACUGGGGUUGGUCUGACGCUGAGGCACGAAAGCCAGGGGAGCGAACGGG